Long non-coding RNA from Triticum aestivum (bread wheat), 2109 nucleotides. RefSeq lists it as uncharacterized. The record is from RefSeq and is a predicted model, not a curated record. The transcript has 3 exons. NCBI's taxonomy places the organism in Eukaryota, Viridiplantae, Streptophyta, Magnoliopsida, Poales, Poaceae.
GGAAACAAGACAGGUGGACAAUGCGACAGGAAGCAAGAAUGAAUUUCUAAUCAAUCUACUAUCUCCCUUGAGUCGGGGUGAACGUACCGACGCACGAUGUUGUGUUUAAUGAUCUGGAAUCCUAGAGGAUCACCCACCCUCGUAAUUCAGUAUUGAGAUGAUCUCCUUAAUUUCUCAAUUGUGUUUUAUUAAAUUGGAUUCCUGUAAGUAUCCUUGCUCUAAUUUGAUAGUUUUACCCUCCCGAGCAUGUUGUGCUUCCAUAAAAAACAUGAAUAUUUCUCAGCCAUUUUAUUGAAAAUGUAGUCGUAUGCUUUCACAUUGACUCUGGAUAUUCUCCUAAACGAAGGUCAAUAACAAUUGAUUUUAUCGGCAACAGGAGGCGCUUAUCAGUCGCCAUCAAGUGCCUCAAUCAGUGCGGCGUCCAGGUAUACACAUUGCUUCAUCUCCUGUGCUAUCUCAUCGUCUAGACAAUGUAUCCAUGGGUGACCCCUGUACUCACCUCAUCUCCAGAUUAGAAGAUAAGUGUCCGUAGGAGGGUAGGAUCUAGGCAAUUGCAGUACUGAUUGUCCAGCUAGGCAACAAAGUCGACGGGGCAAAUAACAUAAUCUUCAGAUUAAGUUAUAUUCGAAAGUCAGUAGGCUUUUCAUGAUUGCCAGUGGUAAAACAAGCAUAUAUUUCUUUUGAUUAUUGACAUAGCACAGCUUAGUAGAGUGGACCAACCAACAUUGGGUUUGGGAGGUCAUUUAAUAGGAAACACUUCGGUGCAAGUUUCUUCACCAUUGAACACAAUUCAUCACGAGACUAUAUAUGCUGGCUGUCAUGCAUGUACGUCUGUAACUAAAUAAAGGGCAGCCCUAGUGCAUGUAGCUCCUACUUGCGCAGGGUCUGGGGAAGGGUCCGACCACUUUGGGUCUAUUGUACGCAACCUUUCCCUACAUUUCUGCAAGAGGAUGUUUUCAGGACUUGAACCCGUGACCUCAUGGUCACAAGGCAACAGCUUUACCACUACGUCUGUAACUAAAUAAUUACAGGAUGUUGUGUGCUUGUUCUAUGUCUAGCAUUAAAGAUGUUCGAAUUUUUGUACCAGUUUCCAAUAGAUCAUUUCCUACAACAAUAUUUGUUUUGCAAUCCAAACAAGUAAAUGUCUUGUAAAGAAGUAGAUGUUUCUGCAUAUGAACACACCAUUCAAGUUAUUUACAGAAUAAUCUUCUUGGAGCGAUCAUAAUUUCGUGCAUGUUUACAUCAUUAUUCAUGUGUGGGUUGUAUUGUGUUUUCUUUUGUGGGGUGCCGGACGGGCUACUGACGAUACUAGCAUGUUUGGGCUGGGGAGACAGAGAUGGUAUGCGGAGUAAGAAGAGUGAUUUAAGGGGAGAGAAAUCAUAACAGGGGUUGGUGUGGAGCAGAAGAGGGCGAAGGAAGACUUGUGGGGAGCUGCGAGGAAUAGAUUUUGGGGUAAUUGCUCGUGGUUUCAAGGUUGCACAAAGGAGAGGAGGCAUGGUUCAAGGUCGUCUUCUGGCACUGGUUUGCCAGCUAGGUCCUCGACGACAUCUGCGCCUCAUAGGUGUUUAGGUGCAGACAUCACAGGUGAACUGCAUCUUUCUAUCUAAAUUUCUUACGUCAAGAGCUGGGAAUAUUUGAAACAUCUAAAUUGCUUAUAUCAACACUAUAAUAGAAAAUACUAUUCUGAAAUAAUACAAAACACCGGGAUAAACUGGGCACUGGAGCCAUAUUGACACAGAACCCAUGAUCAAUGAUGUGUGAGCCAAGUCUUGAUACAUGUGAACUUACAGCCACCCAUUGAGUACAUGACUUCUUCCAUCUUCUAUUCUUUUGUUUUCCAGUGCAGAUAUUCCACCAUGCAUUGUAUUUGACCAUACUUAACCAAGUUGAUUCAUAUCAUUAAGUAUAUUUUGGUUUUCUUCCAGUUUAUUAGGCAUGGACCAGACACAAAUUCUGAAGCUUCAAUAAUUUGGGUGGUCUAAUAGUUCCUGUAUAGCUUGAUGUCGUAUCAGGUGUAAUUUUUUGUUGUUGCUUGAUGUUGUAUCAAGACAAGCUAGGGUCAACAAGGAACAAAGGGGUUGACACAUGGAGAAGCGGGAGCAUAAAAUU